Molecule: ribosomal RNA, 993 nt
Filed under: Pseudoalteromonas sp.
Lineage: Bacteria; Pseudomonadati; Pseudomonadota; Gammaproteobacteria; Alteromonadales; Pseudoalteromonadaceae
Description: bacterial SSU rRNA
Rfam family: Bacterial small subunit ribosomal RNA
Source: RNAcentral
AAUGCUUGGGAACAUGCCUUUAGGUGGGGGACAACCAUUGGAAACGAUGGCUAAUACCGCAUAAUGUCUACGGACCAAAGGGGGCUUCGGCUCUCGCCUUUAGAUUGGCCCAAGUGGGAUUAGCUAGUUGGUGAGGUAAUGGCUCACCAAGGCGACGAUCCCUAGCUGGUUUGAGAGGAUGAUCAGCCACACUGGAACUGAGACACGGUCCAGACUCCUACGGGAGGCAGCAGUGGGGAAUAUUGCACAAUGGGCGCAAGCCUGAUGCAGCCAUGCCGCGUGUGUGAAGAAGGCCUUCGGGUUGUAAAGCACUUUCAGUAAGGAGGAAAGGUUAGUAGUUAAUACCUGCUAGCUGUGACGUUACUUACAGAAGAAGCACCGGCUAACUCCGUGCCAGCAGCCGCGGUAAUACGGAGGGUGCGAGCGUUAAUCGGAAUUACUGGGCGUAAAGCGUACGCACGCGGUUUGUUAAGCGAGAUGUGAAAGCCCCGGGCUCAACCUGGGAACUGCAUUUCGAACUGGCAAACUAGAGUGUGAUAGAGGGUGGUAGAAUUUCAGGUGUAGCGGUGAAAUGCGUAGAGAUCUGAAGGAAUACCGAUGGCGAAGGCAGCCACCUGGGUCAACACUGACGCUCAUGUACUAAAGCGUGGGGAGCAAACGGGAUUAGAUACCCCGGUAGUCCACGCCGUAAACGAUGUCUACUAGGAGUUCGGUCUUUCGGGACUGUCUUCCAAAGCUAACGCAUUAAUAGACCGCCUGGGGAGUACGGCCGCAAGGUUAAAGUCAAUGAAUUGACGGGGGCCCCACAACGGUGGAGCAUGUGGUUUAAUUCCAUGCAACGCGAGAACUUACCUACCCUUGACAUCCAAAACUUGCUAGAGAUAGUUGGUGCCUUCGGCUACUUCUGAAACGGGUGCUGCAUGGCUGUCGUCACUCCAUGUUGUGCAGUCGUUGGGGUUAGUGCGGCACCACGCAACCCUUAUUCUUACUUGC